GAUAGAUAGAUAGAUAGAUAGAUGAUAGAUAAAACAUAGAUGAGAGAAGGGCAGUAAAAGAAAGAGAGGGAAACGUCUUUUGGGUUCUCUCUAUAUUUUAAAACCCCAAAGUAUAGGGUUAAAAGACCCUCUAGGUUCAGUAGAAGAACCAUUCUUUCUCUAAGUGCCAGUAGCAGGCCGCUAUACAAUGAUGAAGCCUAGUCUUGUGCUACAAGGGGAGUGGGGACUGACUUUCAGGCUGUGGCAAAGCGGCCAGUACUCGGCUGUGGGAGCGAAGAGGUUACAGGGAGGCAGUAGGAAAUGGAGCCACAGACAGAGACUCAGUGUUUGGGAAGGGGAGGGAGAGACCUCCGGACACUGCUCAGUUUGUCCUUGUCUGAGGGGCUCCGCUUGGCUCUGUGUGCCCUCUUCACUCACUGGAUUCCAACAUCGGGUUAACACUGGCACCUCCUGGCCCGGCUAAUUCCUGGGACCCUGGGCCCCAGUUGGGAACACGGUCUUUUUUCCCCAUGAUUGCCUGCACAUGUCUCAGUUUACUUGGGCAGCGGUAAUUAAAUCACAAUAAUACGCAGCGCACUGAGAAAGCUAAAUGACUGUUAAUCUCAGCGCAUCUUAAUACACUGCCCUUUGAUCUCUGCCUCUCAGACCAUUUGAUGGACUAAAGGAAACUGCAACCUGAGAGCUGGAGAAAAAUAACCCAAUAAUGUUACAGACACAAUAUCAGGAGAGAGCCCAGACGACUGGUCAAGCAACCAAUUCGUAUUGGGAUAUUAUAUAAAUAUAUAUAUAUUGUAUUCCAGCUGGAAAAUAAAAAUAAAGUGACCAA
Long non-coding RNA from Xenopus laevis (African clawed frog), 826 nucleotides. RefSeq lists it as uncharacterized. NCBI's taxonomy places the organism in Eukaryota, Metazoa, Chordata, Amphibia, Anura, Pipidae. The transcript is spliced from 2 exons. The record is from RefSeq and is a predicted model, not a curated record.